GGUCAAGAAGAGAAGCGCAAACGGUGGAUGCCUUGGCAGUAAGAGGCGAAGAAGGACGUGGAAUCCUGCGAAAAGCUAUGGGGAGCUGGAAACGAGCGUUGAGCCAUAGAUGUCCGAAUGGGGGAACCCGGCUGCAGCGAUGCGGUCAUUUGCAUUUGAAUACAUAGGAUGCAAAGGCGAACUCGGGGAACUGAAACAUCUAAGUACCCGAAGGAAAAGAAAUCAAGAGAGAUUCUCCAAGUAGCGGCGAGCGAACGGGGAGGAGCCUGGCGUGAUUUAUUAUUGAACUGAGUAGAACAAUUUGGGAAAGUUGGCCGAAGAGGGUGAAAGCCCCGUAUACGAAGGUUUGAUGAGGAACUAGGCACGCGAACAAGUAGGCCGGGACACGUGAAAUCCUGGUUGAAGAUGGGUGGACCAUCAUCCAAGGCUAAAUACUACUUACUGACCGAUAGUGAACCAGUACCGUGAGGGAAAGGUGAAAAGAACCCCGGAGAGGGGAGUGAAAUAGAAUCUGAAACCGUUUGCGUACAAGCAGUGGGAGCAUGGUUUAGGCUGUGUGACUGCGUACCUUUUGUAUAAUGGGUCAGCGAGUUACUUUCAGUGGCGAGGUUAACUGAAUAAGGGAGCCGUAGAGAAAUCGAGUCUGAAUAGGGCGAUAGUCGCUGGGAGUAGACCCGAAACCGGGCGAUCUAGCCAUGUGCAGGAUGAAGGUUGGGUAACACCAACUGGAGGUCCGAACCGGGUAAUGUUGAAAAAUUAUCGGAUGACGUGUGGCUAGGAGUGAAAGGCUAAUCAAGCCCGGAGAUAGCUGGUUCUCCCCGAAAGCUAUUUAGGUAGCGCCUCGUGAAUGAUUACUGGGGGUAGAGCACUGUUUCGGCUAGGGGGCUGUCAUGGCUUACCAAACCGAUGCAAACUCCGAAUACCGGCUAAUUGAAUCACGGGAGACACACGGCGGGUGCUAACGUCCGUCGUGGAGAGGGAAACAACCCAGACCGCCAGCUAAGGUCCCCAAGUACUAGUUAAGUGGGAAACGAUGUGGGAAGGCAUAGACAGCCAGGAGGUUGGCUUAGAAGCAGCCACCCUUUAAAGAAAGCGUAAUAGCUCACUGGUCGAGUCGGCCUGCGCGGAAGAUGUAACGGGGCUAAAACUAGUCACCGAAGCUGCGGAUGUGCGCGAAGGCGCACGUGGUAGGGGAGCGUUCUGUAGGCUGAUGAAGGUGCAUUGAGAAGUGUGCUGGAGGUAUCAGAAGUGCGAAUGCUGACAUGAGUAACGAUAAUGUGGGUGAAAAGCCCACACGCCGGAAGUCCCAGGUUUCCUGCACGACGUUAAUCGGAGCAGGGUGAGUCGGCCCCUAAGGCGAGGCUGAAGAGCGUAGUCGAUGGGAACCAGGUUAAUAUUCCUGGACUUUUUAUAAGUGGUGAAGUGGGGACGAAGAAGGCUAGGUGAGCCAGGCGUUGGUUGUCCUGGUACUUGCAUGUAGGGGGGAAGACUUGGCAAAUCCGGUUUUCCAUAACUCUGAGGUGCGAAGUGGUUCUGACCUUUUGGUACAGAGAAGUCAUUGAUGCCCGGCUUCCAGGAAAAGCUGCUAGCCAUAACUUAUAGAGAACCGUACCGCAAACCGACACAGGUGGACAGGUAGAGAAUACUAAGGCGCUUGAGAGAACUCGGGUGAAGGAACUAGGCAAAAUGGUACCGUAACUUCGGGAGAAGGUACGCCCUUUCUGGUGAUGGGAUUUACUUUCAGAGCUGGAGAGGGCCGCAGAGACCAGGUGGCUGCGACUGUUUAUUAAAAACACAGCACUCUGCAAAUUCGUAAGAAGACGUAUAGGGUGUGACGCCUGCCCGGUGCCGGAAGGUUAAUUGAUGGGGUUAUCUUCGGAGAAGCUCUUGAUCGAAGCCCCGGUAAACGGCGGCCGUAACUAUAACGGUCCUAAGGUAGCGAAAUUCCUUGUCGGGUAAGUUCCGACCUGCACGAAUGGCGUAACGAUGGCCACACUGUCUCCACCCGAGACUCAGUGAAAUUGAAAUCGCUGUGAAGAUGCAGUGUACCCGCGGCUAGACGGAAAGACCCCGUGAACCUUUACUAUAGUUUUGCACUGGACUUUGAUGAUGACUGUGUAGGAUAGGUGGGAGGCUGUGAAGUGAGGACGCUAGUUCUCAUGGAGCCGCCCUUGAAAUACCACCCUGUUGUUAUUGAGGUUCUAACUUGGUCCAGUAAUCCUGGAUGAGGACAGUGUAUGAUGGGUAGU
RNAcentral lists this ribosomal RNA (2249 nucleotides) under Legionella pneumophila. Its description in RNAcentral is "partial 23S ribosomal RNA". It matches the Rfam family "Bacterial large subunit ribosomal RNA", at positions 1 to 2269 of the family's 2925-position model. The record is from RNAcentral. Lineage: Bacteria; Pseudomonadati; Pseudomonadota; Gammaproteobacteria; Legionellales; Legionellaceae.